Molecule: ribosomal RNA, 442 nt
Filed under: uncultured Porphyromonadaceae bacterium
Lineage: Bacteria; Pseudomonadati; Bacteroidota; Bacteroidia; Bacteroidales; Porphyromonadaceae
Description: bacterial SSU rRNA
Rfam family: Bacterial small subunit ribosomal RNA
Source: RNAcentral
UGAGGAAUAUUGGGUCAAUGGGCGCGAGCCUGAACCAGCCAAGUCGCGUGGGGGAAGACGGCCCUACGGGUUGUAAACCUCUUUUGCCGGGGAGCAACGCUGCGGACGUGUCCGCAGGUGAGAGUACCCGGAGAAAAAGCAUCGGCUAACUCCGUGCCAGCAGCCGCGGUAAUACGGAGGAUGCGAGCGUUAUCCGGAUUUAUUGGGUUUAAAGGGUGCGCAGGCGGCGCGCCAAGUCAGCGGUCAAAGUUCCGGGCUCAACCCGGUGUCGCCGUUGAAACUGGCGUGCUCGAGUGCGUGCGAGGAAGGCGGAAUGCGUUGUGUAGCGGUGAAAUGCAUAGAUAUGACGCAGAACUCCGAUUGCGAAGGCAGCUUUCCAGCGCGCUACUGACGCUGAGGCACGAAAGCGUGGGGAUCGAACAGGAUUAGAUACCCUGGUAGU